This is a non-coding RNA of Klebsiella pneumoniae IS46, 438 nucleotides long. Lineage: Bacteria; Pseudomonadati; Pseudomonadota; Gammaproteobacteria; Enterobacterales; Enterobacteriaceae. The record is from Rfam.
ACCUGGGCUUCCAUUUCACGAUCAGAAAGGCCACCGCAAAUCUGGAUGAUACGGUCAGACAGCGUCGACUUACCGUGGUCGAUGUGAGCGAUGAUCGAAAAGUUACGUAUAUUCUUCAUAUUUAGAGUUAAUUAUGCCUUACGAGUAUCAUGAGGCCGCUGUACUGUGCCUGACGUUUUUUUAUCCGAAAAACGCCGCAUUCUACACUACAUCCGCGAAACCAGGAAAUGCUGUUAGAUCCAGCAUACCCGCAGAAAUUGUGGCGUUGUAACAGGAAAGGUAAAUAAAGAUAAGGGCCAGUGAAAUCACUGGCCCAUGUCGGAGGAAGGCGUAUCAACACGCAGCAGAUCCGGCGGCAGUGCGACGUUCAAAAUCACCGGCUGCCAGGACUGACGUGCCGCCAGUCGCGGCGACAGACCGCGCGCCACCAGGAAGCCG